Yokenella regensburgei ATCC 43003 is the source of this 85-nucleotide non-coding RNA. The record is from Rfam. NCBI's taxonomy places the organism in Bacteria, Pseudomonadati, Pseudomonadota, Gammaproteobacteria, Enterobacterales, Enterobacteriaceae.
GCGCUGAAAAACAUAACCCAUAAAUGCUAGUUGUACCAGGAACCACCUCCUUGGCCCGUGUAAUCUCCCUUACGCGGGCUUAUUU